This 115-nucleotide ribosomal RNA is filed under the name Cadophora fastigiata. Its description in RNAcentral is "5.8S rRNA". It matches the Rfam family "5.8S ribosomal RNA", at positions 1 to 112 of the family's 154-position model. Rfam says of the family: 5.8S ribosomal RNA (5.8S rRNA) is a component of the large subunit of the eukaryotic ribosome. It is transcribed by RNA polymerase I as part of the 45S precursor that also contains 18S and 28S rRNA. Functionally, it is thought that 5.8S rRNA may be involved in ribosome translocation. The record is from RNAcentral. Lineage: Eukaryota; Fungi; Ascomycota; Leotiomycetes; Helotiales; Ploettnerulaceae. RNAcentral also lists the same sequence under 2 other names.
AAAACUUUCAACAACGGAUCUCUUGGUUCUGGCAUCGAUGAAGAACGCAGCGAAAUGCGAUAAGUAAUGCGAAUUGCAGAAUUCCAGUGAGUCAUCGAAUCUUUGAACGCACAUU